Molecule: ribosomal RNA, 550 nt
Filed under: uncultured bacterium
Lineage: Bacteria
Description: bacterial SSU rRNA
Rfam family: Bacterial small subunit ribosomal RNA
Source: RNAcentral
UAGGGAAUCUUCGGCAAUGGACGGAAGUCUGACCGAGCAACGCCGCGUGAGUGAAGAAGGUUUUCGGAUCGUAAAGCUCUGUUGUAAGAGAAGAACGAGUGUGAGAGUGGAAAGUUCACACUGUGGCGGUAUCUUACCACAAAGGGACGGCUAACUACGUGCCAGCAGCCGCGGUAAUACGUAGGUCCCGAGCGUUGUCCGGAUUUAUUGGGCGUAAAGCGAGCGCAGGCGGUUAGAUAAGUCUGAAGUUAAAGGCUGUGGCUUAACCAUAGUACGCUUUGGAAACUGUUUAACUUGAGUGCAAGAGGGGAGAGUGGAAUUCCAUGUGUAGCGGUGAAAUGCGUANAUNUAUGGAGGAACACCGGUGGCGAACGCGGCUCUCUGGCUUGUAACUGACGCUGAGGCUCGAUAGCGUGGGGAGCAAACCUGAUUACAUACACUGGUAGUCCACGCCGUAUACGAUGAGUGCUANGUGUUAUACCCUUUCCGGGGUUUAGUGUCGCAACUAACGCAUUAAGCACUCCGCCNGGGGAGUACGACCGCAGGGUUG